CGCCACGGGCUGCAUGGGCAGCGCUCGCGCCCCGCCGCUGAGCCGCCGGGGAGCCGUCCAGGCUUCGAAUCCCACCACAGCAUGUUCCGAAGAGAUGAUUGGAAGAUGGAAGUGGAGGGUUAAAUAAUGAAAUGCAGCUAACAUUUCGGAAAGUUUCUAAAAGUUGUACAACAUGCCCUACAGCUACCCUUUAAAUCUCCAAAUCAAAUGAGUUCCAGGUGGAGCCUCUGGGAGGUGAUGAGGUCAUGAGAGUGGAGCCUCAUGAAUGGGAUGAGCACUCCUACAAAAAGGAUUCCAGAGAGCUCCCUUGCUCCUUCCACAGUGUGAGGACACAGCGGGAAGGCUCUGUCUAUGAAUGAGGAAGUGAGUCCCCACCAGACAUUGAAUCUGCCGCAUCUUGAUAUUGGACUUCCAGUCUCCAGAACUGUGGGCAAUAAAUGUCUGUUGUUUAUUACCUGUUCAGUAUCUUUGGUAUUUUGCUAUAGCAACCCAAAUGGACUAAGAAAACACUAGAGGCCAUACCUAAUAAAAAUAUUGACAUCAC
Molecule: long non-coding RNA, 544 nt
Filed under: Pan troglodytes (chimpanzee)
Lineage: Eukaryota; Metazoa; Chordata; Mammalia; Primates; Hominidae
Description: lincRNA
Source: RNAcentral